This 388-nucleotide ribosomal RNA is filed under the name uncultured bacterium. RNAcentral describes it as "bacterial SSU rRNA". It matches the Rfam family "Bacterial small subunit ribosomal RNA", at positions 370 to 772 of the family's 1533-position model. The record is from RNAcentral.
AAUGGGCCACAAGCCUGAUCCAGCAAUUCUGUGUGCACGAUGAAGGUCUUCGGAUUGUAAAGUGCUUUCAGUAGGGAAGAAAAAAAUGACGGUACCUACAGAAGAAGCGACGGCUAAAUAUGUGCCAGCAGCCGCGGUAAUACAUAUGUCGCAAGCGUUAUCCGGAUUUAUUGGGCGUAAAGCGCGUCUAGGCGGUUUACUAAGUCUGAUGUGAAAAUGCGGGGCUCAACUCCGUAUUGCGUUGGAAACUGGUAGACUAGAGUACUGGAGAGGUGGGCGGAACUACAAGUGUAGAGGUGGAAUUCGUAGAUAUUUGUAGGAAUGCCGAUGGAGAAGUCAGCUCACUGGACAGAUACUGACGCUAAAGCGCGAAAGCGUGGGGAGCAAA